AGUUUCAGAUUUGAUAGUUAAUCAUGCAUAAAAGUUUUAGCAUAAUUGUUUAAACGAUUUCGGCAUAAUCCUAUGUGUUCUUAAUGUGUUGAUUUCUAGAUUUGAUCUUGUAAGCAUGCAUGAAUUAAAUUGUUUGAUUCAUUUUUCCGCUGCAUUUUUGAAACUUAAAAAGAAUUACGUGUGGCUUGAUCCCCCUUGUGAAGGGGUACGUAGGCAACCCGAUUAGGUUCAGCCAUGGUUUUCAAAAAAAAA
RNAcentral lists this long non-coding RNA (252 nucleotides) under Phoenix dactylifera (date palm). RNAcentral describes it as "long non-coding RNA (PDAC_LNC016530)". The record is from RNAcentral. Lineage: Eukaryota; Viridiplantae; Streptophyta; Magnoliopsida; Arecales; Arecaceae.